GACGAACGCUGGCGGCGUGCCUAAUACAUGCAAGUAGAACGCUGAAGAGAGGAGCUUGCUCUUCUUGGAUGAGUUGCGAACGGGUGAGUAACGCGUAGGUAACCUGCCUUGUAGCGGGGGAUAACUAUUGGAAACGAUAGCUAAUACCGCAUAACAAUGGAUGACACAUGUCAUUUAUUUGAAAGGGGCAAUUGCUCCACUACAAGAUGGACCUGCGUUGUAUUAGCUAGUAGGUGAGGUAAUGGCUCACCUAGGCGACGAUACAUAGCCGACCUGAGAGGGUGAUCGGCCACACUGGGACUGAGACACGGCCCAGACUCCUACGGGAGGCAGCAGUAGGGAAUCUUCGGCAAUAGGGGCAACCCUGACCGAGCAGCGCCGCGUGAGUGAAGAAGGUUUUCGGAUCGUAAAGCUCUGUUGUAAGUCAAGAACGGGUGUGAGAGUGGAAAGUUCACACUGUGACGGUAGCUUACCAGAAAGGGACGGCUAACUACGUG
RNAcentral lists this ribosomal RNA (497 nucleotides) under uncultured bacterium. RNAcentral describes it as "partial 16S ribosomal RNA". It matches the Rfam family "Bacterial small subunit ribosomal RNA", at positions 28 to 507 of the family's 1533-position model. The record is from RNAcentral.